GUUUAUCAAAAACAUGGCCUCUUGAAUUAAUAAUAUGAGGUCUGACCUGCCCACUGAGAAUUUGAAGGGCCGCGGUAUUUUGACCGUGCAAAGGUAGCAUAAUCAUUAGUCUCUUAAUUGGAGGCUGGAAUGAAUGGUUGGACGAGGCAUUGACUGUCUCAUUGUAGAUGAUUUUAGAAUUUAACAUUUGAGUGAAAAGGCUUAAAUAGUUUUAGAGGACGAGAAGACCCUAUAGAUCUUUAUAUAGCUUCUUUAAUCAUUAUUUGGUUGUGGAAUUUGGUUAGGGUAUGCUAAUAUUUUGUUGGGGUGAUGGGAAGAUAAAAUAAACUCUUUUUAUUUAUGUUAUACAGUGAUUUUUGGAUUUUUGAUCCGUUAUUGGCGAUUAUAAGAUUAAGUUACCUUAGGGAUAACAGCGUAAUCUUUUUUGAGAGUUCUUAUCGACAAAAAGGGUUGCGACCUCGAUGUUGGAUUAAGGUUAAAUUUGGGUGCAGGUGUUCAAAUUUUUAGGUCUGUUCGACCUUUAAAUCCUUACAUGAUCCUGAGGUUCAAACCGGAGA
RNAcentral lists this ribosomal RNA (557 nucleotides) under Claassenia sabulosa. Its description in RNAcentral is "partial 16S ribosomal RNA". It matches the Rfam family "Bacterial large subunit ribosomal RNA", at positions 1802 to 2622 of the family's 2925-position model. The record is from RNAcentral. Lineage: Eukaryota; Metazoa; Arthropoda; Insecta; Plecoptera; Perlidae.